RNAcentral lists this unclassified non-coding RNA (40 nucleotides) under Sorangium cellulosum So ce56. RNAcentral's name for it is "sce_s2m_41". The record is from RNAcentral. Lineage: Bacteria; Pseudomonadati; Myxococcota; Polyangiales; Polyangiaceae.
CUGGAACCGCGCAGGAAGAGCGCCGGGCCGCGCAGCAGGA